CAGCACCCAGGAGAUCCAAACUUUGUUCCUGGUCUCUCUCCACAGUUGGAAUUGGGAACUACACAUGGGCACAGCUUACAGGUGGAAUGAUGACUCACACCUGAAGAUAUUUUGACCUUUGUAGUCUUAGGGCAAAAACUAAGGUCCUGUGUCUUCAACUUGUAGGAUGGUCACGGAAUAUUACAACUUGCAUGCACGUUGAAUGAAGCCCUCAAAUGCUACAAAGAGUGCCAAAAUAGAGCCCAGCUAAAACUGUGGUAAAACUGUGGCUGUUGUAUGCAAACUCAAAUAAAACUGGAUCCAGGUAUGAGAGUCAUCAUCUCACCUGUGAGCUGUGACCAUGUAUAUGUCGCAAUUUCACCUGUCAUCAGGAAGCAGACAUGAGAGUCCUAUCACCUGGGUGCUGGACGAAGUUUCGCUCUUGUUUCCCAGGCCGGAGCACAAUG
This 446-nucleotide long non-coding RNA is filed under the name Homo sapiens (human). Its description in RNAcentral is "HSALNT0340993". The record is from RNAcentral. Lineage: Eukaryota; Metazoa; Chordata; Mammalia; Primates; Hominidae.